Molecule: long non-coding RNA, 1508 nt
Organism: Rosa rugosa (rugosa rose)
Lineage: Eukaryota; Viridiplantae; Streptophyta; Magnoliopsida; Rosales; Rosaceae
Exons: 5
Source: RefSeq, a predicted model, not a curated record
GUAAAGCUGUAAUAUUUUUUCCAGAUAAAAGCUUAAGCUAUUAUGGAAUGACUCAACUAUAUUUAACCUUACAAUAUCAUGCCAUUUUUGUUUCAGGUAUGUCAAUGUUCCUCAAGAAAUCAACAGGCUGAGGUGCGCGGUGAACUAUCACGCUCUUAAGUUUCUUCCUGAAAUAGAGCAGAUGGCUGAUUUAUUGGCAUCAAGGAUGAGAAACUGCACUGGAAUUUCCAAUCCUUAUAUGGCCCUGCAUCUCAGGUUUGAGAAGGGGAUGGUAGGUCUAUCCUUCUGUAAUUUUGUGGGGAUGCUAAGGUAUUCAAAUUUUGGUUUGUAUAGUACUUGGAAGUGAAAACACAAACUUAGUUUGAGGUGAAUGUCUUACCGGAAAAAAAAGUAUAUAUAUCGUUCUGCAAUUAUAUGACAACAGUUUAGUGGCACCAGCAUCACCCUUUUGCAUUCCAGGCCUUUUUAGAAAUGUGACUCUUUACGUUGGAGAUGCUAUAGGAAUUGUACUUCAUAGACUUCUCAGUAUCAUAAGGACCAUAGGUUUGAGUCGAUUAUUUUAUUGGAUAUUAAAACAUAUAUGUAGUUCCUUGAUCAUUAAGUAGAGUUUGACUGCACCAUCACUGCCCUUUUGGCUAUCAAGCUUAUUUAGAACUGUCUUUUGGUAUACAUUUGUUAUCUGGGAGAGGCUAUAGGAAUUGAACACAUAGAUUUGUUGGUAUCAUAAGCACCUUUAGAUUGACUAACAGUAUAUUUCAAAUGGUGGUCUUUUCCAAUAAUUCAAGUCAGGUUAAAGAGAUACUUGGAGAUGAGGGGUGCUGAUGGAGGACCGGCCUUGGAGAAGCUUAUCUGCUUUGCUUGCAUUUUGGGCAUUGGAUUGUAGACGACUACGUAUUUUAGUCAUUGCCCUCCUCAGUUUAUAUUCUCGGCGCGCAGAGAAAGGAAAUAUCGGAAUCGCAGAUAGGGCUUUGCAGCUCAUUUCCAUUGCUAGGCCCAACAAGCGCACCAAAGUCCCCUGAUACUAAGGUCUUCUUUAGCUUAAUCAAGGCUUCUAAUUCAUUGAUAACACUAAAUCCCACAGCAAAGCGCGGGCAUAUGUUCUAGUCAUAUAUAGAGAUUACAUAGAUAUGAGUAUAGCUGUGGGUACUCCAAAGGGCCUUGUUGUGCCAGUUAUCCGCAAUGUUGAUAAGAUGAAUUGUGGUGAGAUAGAGAAGGAGAUCAAUUUGCUUGCAAAGAAGGCAAAUGAAGGGCGUCUUUCAAUUUAUGAUAUGGCUGGAGGUUCAUUUACAAUAUCCAAUGGUGGAUUUUAUGGAAGCCUUAUAAGUACCCCUAUCAUGAACCAUCCUCAGGUCUGAUUCUUUAUUUGACCCAAUUGACUGGACUUUGAUCGUCUUACUGCAACAAAUGGAACUCACAUAUCAGUUCUAUGUUUAACUAUGUACCUAGUGAAGCUUCUUUAAUUUGUAGCAAAAGUACAUUUUCCAUUAUAUGACAGCUAAGUACCUUUA